GUGCUCACUUCAGCAGCACAUAUACUAAAAUCAGAAUGAUACAGCAAGACCCCUGUACAAGGAUGACACAGAAAUUCAUGAUGUGUUCUGUAUAUUU
This is a small nuclear RNA of Myotis lucifugus (little brown bat), 97 nucleotides long. The record is from Ensembl. NCBI's taxonomy places the organism in Eukaryota, Metazoa, Chordata, Mammalia, Chiroptera, Vespertilionidae.